AUGCCAUCUUCACUGUUCUGUAGAGAACGGCACAGAUGUUACCCUGUCCUUGUUUCUUGGGAAUAAAAUGUUUGUGUACAUCACCGACCCCUCUACCCCACUUACGUUGUCUGUGAUUGUGGAAAAGAGAGGCAUCUUCAGAUGUGAGGCAAAGAACCAUGUCAGCAAUGAGACACUGUCAAUCAAAGUGGAUAACAUCUGCUCAGCACCAUCAAGAGCUUCCCAUCCAGUCUGCAACUAUCACUUGAAACAAUCUUUCCUUGCUAUCUUCAUUCUUCUUAGCGUUUCUACUGUGUUGUUUUAGAUCAGACCAAGAAUGAACCCACCACAGAGCGUCCCAACACCUGAUGCCUUUUUU
Long non-coding RNA from Megalops cyprinoides (Indo-Pacific tarpon), 358 nucleotides. RefSeq lists it as uncharacterized. NCBI's taxonomy places the organism in Eukaryota, Metazoa, Chordata, Actinopteri, Elopiformes, Megalopidae. The record is from RefSeq and is a predicted model, not a curated record. The transcript has 4 exons.